Molecule: ribosomal RNA, 2153 nt
Filed under: Silurotaenia siluri
Lineage: Eukaryota; Metazoa; Platyhelminthes; Cestoda; Proteocephalidea; Proteocephalidae
Description: SSU rRNA
Rfam family: Eukaryotic small subunit ribosomal RNA
Source: RNAcentral
CAGUAGUCAUAUGCUUGUCUCAGAGAUUAAGCCAUGCAUGUCUCAGUGCACGCCUUUAUACGGUGAAACCGCGAAUGGCUCAUUAAAUCAGCUAUGGUUUAUUGGAUCAUACCCGUUAAAUGGAUAACUGUAAUAACUCUAGAGCUAAUACAUGCCUUGAUGCCCUGACCCUUACGGGGAUGGGUGCACUUAUUAGAUCAGAAGCCAACCGUGUAUGGUCGCCCCACAUGCCUUGUGUGUGUGUGGGUGGGUGUGCGCGUUGACCUUCUGGUGACUCUGGAUAAUUGUUACAGAUCGCAGUCGGCCUUGAGUCGGCGACGGGUCCUUCAAAUGUCUGCCCUAUCAACUUUCGAUGGUAGGUGACCUGCCUACCAUGGUGAUAACGGGUAACGGGGAAUCAGGGUUCGAUUCCGGAGAGGGAGCCUGAGAAACGGCUACCACUUCCAAGGGAGGCAGCAGGCGCGCAAAUUACCCACUCCCAGUACGGGGAGGUGGUGACGAAAAAUACCGAUGCGGGACUCCUUAACGAGGCUCCGUAAUCGGAAUGAGUGAACUAUAAAUCCUUUCACGAGGAUCAAUUGGAGGGCAAGUCUGGUGCCAGCAGCCGCGGUAACUCCAGCUCCAAUAGCGUAUAUUAAAGUUGCUGCAGUUAAAAAGCUCGUAGUUGGAUCUCGGUAUCACUGUCGCUUGUCAGUCCUCAGGUAGGUGUCUGCUGCGGCAGCGGCGGCGGAGUGCGCAUGGCUCACGCAGUUGUGUGUGUCUCUUGUUCGUUGUCCUGUGGAUGUCCUGCUCGAGUUGGCGAUGUGGUGGUGUCACCUUUGAGCCAUGUCUGUGGUGGAAUACCCGCAGGUGUAGGCGAGUGUCAGGCGGUGCCUUGCGAAAGCAGGGCUCGUCGGCUCGUUUGCAUGCCUUUAGAUGCCCUUCAAAAGGUGUCUGUUGGCGGAUGGCACGUUUACUUUGAACAAAUUUGAGUGCUCAAACCAGGCCGAUGUUGCCUGAAAAGUUUUGCAUGGAAUAAUGGAAUAGGACUUCGGUUCUAUUUCGUUGGUUUUCGGAUCCGAAGUAAUGAUCAAAAGAGACAGGCGGGGACGUUUGUAUGGCUGCGCUAGAGGUGAAAUUCAUGGACCGUAGCCAGACAAACUAAAGCGAAAGCAUUCGUCAAGCAUGUUUUCAUUGGCCAUGAGCGAAAGUCAGAGGCUCGAAGACGAUCAGAUACCGUCCUAGUUCUGACCAUAAACGAUGCCAACUGACGAUCCGUGGUGGUAGUUCAUCAACCUUCCCCACGGGCAGUCCCCGGGAAACCUUUAAGUCUUUGRGUUCCGGGGGAAGUAUGGUUGCAAAGCUGAAACUUAAAGGAAUUGACGGAAGGGCACCACCAGGAGUGGAGCCUGCGGCUUAAUUUGACUCAACACGGGAAAACUCACCCGGCCCGGACACUAUGAGGAUUGACAGAUUGAAAGCUCUUUCUUGAUUUGGUGGUUGGUGGUGCAUGGCCGUUCUUAGUUGGUGGAGCGAUUUGUCUGGUUAAUUCCGAUAACGAACGAGACUCCUGCCUGCUAAUUAGUGCAUCUGUCUACUGUGCCUGCGUAGGCGGUGUUUGACGAAACUGACUCCGUAAAGCCGCGCUCGUGGGUUGGCUCGACCUUCUCAUUCUUGUGGGGGGGGAGUGUUGGCCUGUGGGUGUGGUGGGGUCGGUUGGUUCGGCAUUAGUCUCCGGGUGCGGCGCGGUUGCUACUUCUUAGAGGGACAAGUGGGAGAAGCCGCACGAAAUAGAGCAAUAACAGGUCUGUGAUGCCCUUAGAUGUCCGGGGCCGCACGCGCGCUACAAUGACGGUGGCAAUGAGUCUGACCUUCUGGCCCGAAAGGGUUGGGCAAACUGGUCAAUCACCGUCAUGACAGGGAUCGGGGCUUGGAAUUGUUCCCCGUGAACGAGGAAUUCCUAGUAAGUGCAAGUCAUAAGCUUGCGCUGAUUACGUCCCUGCCCUUUGUACACACCGCCCGUCGCUACUACCGAUUGAAUGGUUUAGUAAGGUCCUUGGAUUGGCGCCAUUGUGGUGGUUGCCGAAAGGUUGCUACCCGGCAGGUGCUGAGAAGACGACCAAAAUUGAUCAUUUAGAGGAAGUAAAAGUCGUAACAAGGUUUCCGUAGGUGAA